GGAGGGCUAGUCCUAACUGGUAAGGCAGCGGACUUGAAAUCCGCCGGGAGCAAUCCCAUGGGGGUUCGAAUCCCUCGCCCUCCG
This 84-nucleotide transfer RNA is filed under the name candidate division TA06 bacterium DG_78. RNAcentral's name for it is "tRNA-Ser". It matches the Rfam family "tRNA". From Rfam's summary of the family: Transfer RNA (tRNA) molecules are approximately 80 nucleotides in length. Their secondary structure includes four short double-helical elements and three loops (D, anti-codon, and T loops). The record is from RNAcentral. RNAcentral also lists the same sequence under 4 other names.